GUGCACGACCUCGACCAGCUGGUCGCCUGAUCUCGUUUAGCAGGGCAGGAGCCUGUGUUCCCAUUUCUUAGUAGCUGGGCUGUCGGUGACCUAGCUCAGCCUUGGUUUUCCUCCGGUUGAACUGAAGCUGGCAAGAGCUGCCUCCCGGAUCGCAGUGAGGACUCUAAGGGAACGAGGGCGAGCGCGCUUUGGAAAGCCAGUUGCUGAGCAGAUGGUAAGGGAUCACUUCCAAGAGCCAGGGCUAGUUUCAUUUCAGUCUUGGACACGAGAUGGUCUCAAUGCCUUCAUUAAUGAGCAUUCUCCUUAGAAGUCUGGAGAAGUGACCCAAGAAGAAGGACCAACAAUUCAGGCUCAGGAAAGCCCACAACUCCACAGAGGAACCAGGACUGCAUGGCUUCGAAUCCCAGCCCCCCCACCCUCAGGAAACAUUCCUCCCCAAACAACAUGGAUUUUUGGACGCCUCCACCUUGAGACAGCUACUUCAGCCAGAACGUGGGACAGGCACUAACAGGAUAUCACCCUUGGGGAUAAACACGCUCCAGUUUCCUGUGGACGGUGGAAGAGGAA
This 567-nucleotide non-coding RNA is filed under the name Pongo abelii (Sumatran orangutan). The record is from RNAcentral. Lineage: Eukaryota; Metazoa; Chordata; Mammalia; Primates; Hominidae.